Molecule: ribosomal RNA, 361 nt
Filed under: uncultured bacterium
Lineage: Bacteria
Description: partial 16S ribosomal RNA
Rfam family: Bacterial small subunit ribosomal RNA
Source: RNAcentral
CCUACGGGUGGCAGCAGUGAGGAAUAUUGGUCAAUGGGCGGGAGCCUGAACCAGCCAAGUCGCGUGAGUGAAGACGGUCCUAUGGAUUUUAAACCUCUUUAGGCGGGGAGCAAUGCCUUGCACGUGUGCCCGGAGGGAUAGUACCCGCAUAAUAAGCAUCGGCUAACUCCGUGCCAGCAGCCGCGGUAAUUCGGAGGAUGCGAGCGUUAUCCGGAUUUAUUGGGUUUAAAGGGUGCGUAGGCGGAGUUUUAAGUCAGCGGGAAAAUGUCCGGGCUCAACCCGGGCCGGACGUUGAAACUGGGGAUCUUGAGUGGGCGAGGAGUGUGCGGAAUGCGUGGUGUAGCGGUGAAAUGCGUAGAUA